UACAGAGGUCUCAAGCGUUGUUCGGAUUCAUUGGGCGUAAAGGGUGCGUAGGCGGCGCGGUAAGUCGGGUGUGAAAUCUUGGAGCUUAACUCCGAAACUGCAUUCGAUACUGCCGUGCUUGAGGACUGGAGAGGAGACUGGAAUUUACGGUGUAGCGGUGAAAUGCGUAGAUAUCGUAAGGAAGACCAGUGGCGAAGGCGGGUCACUGGGUCUCAACUGACGCUGAUGCACGAAAGCUAGGGUAGCGAACGGG
RNAcentral lists this ribosomal RNA (253 nucleotides) under uncultured bacterium. RNAcentral describes it as "partial 16S ribosomal RNA". It matches the Rfam family "Bacterial small subunit ribosomal RNA", at positions 524 to 776 of the family's 1533-position model. The record is from RNAcentral.